GCUACUCAAGUUAUUAAUUAGUCAUACUCUUUUAAAAUAAGUUUCAUUAGAUAGAUAGAAACAACAUCUUUGUUUAGACGAAAGCCAAACGCUCUUGGUCUAAUGUUUACAGUAUUAAUCGAGAGCUCUUGGUCUAGUGGUGAUGGAACUCCAGCUGGAGUGUCCGCUUUGGGUUCGAGUCGCCUUAACCACCUUCCCGCAUAUAACCGUGUGUGUCCGGAUGAAAGGCCUCGUGAGGAUUAGUCCGAGCUUACCGUAUGGAUUCUCAACGGUCGUCGGAAAAAAAAAGCCUUUUCAAAAAAUAAAAAAUAAAUCUUUGUUUAGAAAAUGUCGAUAUGAUUAAUUAUAUAUACUACUAAAAUUGCAAGGACAUGGGGUACGUCUAAUAGAGUCAUCAGAUCAUUCUUUCGUCAUUAAAUCAUGUGUGGGGAGUGGUCAUCGGUUACUUUUCUUUUGUAUUUGGUAUUUUAUUGACGUGCAGAAUCCGUGACGGGAAGCUGCUCAACUAAAUUCAAAAAUAGCAAUGAAACACACACUAGUAAUUAAUUAAUCAUCGAAUAUACUAUGACCGACGUAACUAAAUUCAAAAAUCCCAAUGAAACACACACUAGUAAUUAAUUAAUCAUCGAAUAUACUAUGACCGACGUAACUAAAUUCAAAAAUCCCAAUGAAACACACACUAGUAAUUAAUUAAUCAUCGAAUAUACUAUGACCGACGUAACUCGUUGUUCUAGUGGUCCAUUUAUUACGUACAGCGAAACUUCUUUCGUAGUCCGACCCUAUAAAUACGUUUGUCUGUAAUGUAAUGUUUUGUUUUCUUUCAAGCGGAUAUAACUGUUCCUUUCAUAGGUAAAAUUGGGCUAUCUGGAUCAUAAUUAAGUUUAGAAUAAUUAUAAGGGACAAUUUGAAAAAUAACCUAUUAAUAGUUUCAAAUUUGAAAAUUGUACUUUCUGUUUUAGUUUUUGAAAACUACACUAAAUUAAAUGUGAAAAAACAUUUUCGUCCAUAAUAAAUAUUUGAAUAAAUAAAAUAUAAAUUCAAAAUUAAUGACAUCAUUAUUAUUAAAAUAUUUAUGUUUAAGAUUAAUCAAUGUUGAAGUAAAUGUGUUAUUUUACUAUUUAGAAUUUUAAAAUAACAAUGAUACUAUGGAAAAACAAUUAUGAAGUCUUUGUAAUUUUAUCAAAAAGUUUAUAUGUAUGCUUUUUAACAUUCAAAAACCUUAUAUAAAAAGAUUGCCCUACACCAUCAUUCUUGUACAAAAGAAAAGUAACACCCUGCAAACAUUUCAUUCUUAUGACAGGUAUUCUCUAUCAAGAAGUCUUUAAAUUAGUAAGAGAAAAUGAGGUUUACAAAAUCGAAUUACAAUCAAGGAUAUGAGUGAAGAAUUAACAAACCUGAGACUAUGAAAACAAGAGAAAAGAAAAAUGUUUUGUAGAAAAAGAAAAUAAAAGAUUACGAAGAAGAAGAUGCAGGAGACGACACUUGUCCUCUUUUCCUCUUUUUUCUCUUUUCUUCUUUUUAAAAAACAUAAUAUUUUAAGAUAUAUCCAAAAGAUACUGUGUAGAUAUUAUUAAAAUUCAAAAAAAUUCUUGUUGAAACUGUUAAUUUAAAUAUUAAAUAAAUUAUGCUAAUUAAAGUUUUUGAUAAUAAUAUUGAAUAUUUAGAUUGGACAAUUUAGUAAAUUUACAUAUAUCAAAGUGUAUUUUUCAAAAACCUUAAAUAUUGGUGUAGUUUUCAAAUUAGUAUUUCUCCAAAUUUUCCCUAAUUGUAAUAAGUUUUUUUUUUUAAAAAAGAAUAAUUAUAAUAAGUUCAGAAUGUCAGGUGAGUAACACCGUCCCGGGCAAAGUGGUAGGCCGUAAUAUUUUUAAGCAGAUACACACAUCGCUGAUCUUAUAUGGUUUACAACUACAGUUCAGUAGAAUACUUACUAUCAAUAGGCAUUAACCAUAUAGAUGUUGCAUAGUCUAAUUUGACAUCACUAUGAGUCAAUAUAAUGGUUACAAGAAUCUAUUUCUAACCUUUACGAUUCAACUCCUAGUUUUUUUUUUUUUUUUUUUGUAACACUGAUUCAACUCCUAGUUAUAUGAACCAAUUGGUGGUAGAAUAGUGUCAAAGAUUGAUUUAGGACAAGGAAAACAAAGUUAAUGAUACUUGACCAUAUAAGAAAAUGAAAAAAUGUUUUUGGCCUCAUCCGAAAACAAGAAAUCUAGUUAUAGUUGUCGGUAUUUCCAUUUAGGAGAUUAGUUGGGUUUCGUUUUAGAUACCUCCAGUUAAUCCAAAAUAAUUUCCUAACGUAGACUAAGUUAUUGUAAGCAAUAACAGAGUAACCAAUGCACCAAUCAUAGAAUAAUAGUUUAAACGAUGGCUAUAGAAAAAUGUAAUGAACGGUCAAGUCUUAUGAUAUGUAAUUCAAAUGUGAGAUACUAGGCCGAUUGCUUGUUUUUUGCAAUCAUCUCAUCUUUCAACUAGACAAUAAAAAAUUAUAGUAUAAUGUAUUUUAAUUCUUUUUAAAAAUCUACCAAUGCGCCGGGAUUGAGAUCCUAUAAAGACUAUCUAGAACCUUUCUCCGCUCUACGCGCGGAGAAUAUAUUUAAAUUUGUUUCAUUAUCAUUGUUAACUUAAAUUAACUAAUUUUAAAAUUUGUUUUUAAUUUUUUUUAGUUUGAAGUAACUAUUUCUAUUAUGGUAACACGAUUAACUAAUAAAAUAUGAAGAACCAAGUCCGAGAUUUUAGAGUUCUGCAGAAAAUAUAAUUAUAUAUAGAACAUAAAUGCUCUUAUUUUAAAAGAUCAGAAUCUCGUCUCAAAUAAAUUCACGAAAAUAAACAGUACUCCAAUAACCUACUUAAAAUAUAAAACCCUCUUUUCAAAAUAAGCGUACGUAAUCUUAUUUUUUACGUUUGUAAUAGAUGAAAACUGAUAAUUGAAAUUAUAUGUUUUAAGUUUUCAAAUUUAAAAUAAAAAUAGUUUCAAUUUGUAAAAUAUAAUGAAACAAAUUCAAAAUAAUUCGAAAAAUAUUCAUGAAGUAGCUAUUUACAAAAGUUUGAUCAAAUUUUGUAAAUCAGUGUAUAUAUAUUUUUUUAUCCAAGUAACUUUUUAAAUUCACAAAAUCUACACAAUUUUAUCUCUCAGUAACCCUCAUCUUUAUAGUAGACUUUAGUCACUCUAAUCAUGCUUUCUUGUUCACUAACACAUAGACAUCACCUAUGUCUUUUAAUUUAUUCUCUAUAUAUUUAAAUUGCUUAGCAAAGAUUGAAAGACAGAAGUUGAGUUUUAGAUUUUAUAUAGAAGUAGAUCUAAAGAAAAAAAAUGAUAAAAUAGUUUAAAAUGUAAAUAAAUCUAGGUAUCAAAUCAUGUGAGAAAGAGAAUAACAAUCCGAAUGAUGCAUCGUUUGACCACCCUCCUAACCAGCUGCCUCCGCCACUGAUUUCAGCCAUGUUAUGCUCCGGUUACGACAGUUCACUUAUCUCAGUUAUGACUACGCGCAGAUUUUUUUAUCAUAAAUGUUUAGAAUGAUGUUGCAUGAUCUCUUAUUCGCCUUUUGAAAUGCUUUAUGUAAUCAAUCGAUUUGUUGAAGUGGAAAUUUGUUGCUGGUGAUGAACGGAGUAGUAGUUUGCUUAGAAAAUACUAGAUAUUAUUGUUAUGUUGAUAAAAAAAAAUUAGUUCUGUAUUAUUUUUGAUGUGUUUAGUAAAACUAUUUACCUCGCAAAAGUUUAGGAAUUAUGCUUGUGAUGAUGACAACUUUAAAUUUCCUAUUCUUCUUGUUUUGUAGGAUGCUAAAAUCUGAUGCUUGCUUGUCGCACAGUAUGAGUUUAACAAUUGUCGACCUGAGAUAGAGAUUUAUGUAUGAAGAUAAUUAUUAUUUCGUUUUUAAUUAUUUUGUUAGACUGACCUGUUCAGCCGUAUACCAAUCGUGGCAUCAAUAUUGAGUUCCGGGUGGUCCAGUUUUAUUUUUUGUAUUAUGACUAUCUGCCCGACGACAUCUGCAUAUUGAUUUUAGAAUAAACAUCCAUGUUUGUUUAAUUAAUACUGGAAUGACUUACUUACCUGGUAAGUAUGUGGGUAUAGUGGCUAAGCGCAGUAGAUUUCCGUAAUUCUGAGGAGAUAAAUUGUGAACUGGAAAUAUCGGACCGAUCUCUGUAACGUUCAAUAUUAUUGUCUUUUGGUCGAUCUGAUUGUAAUACGGCAGUUGGGUGAGUUUCCGAAGUCGUGAAUUAUGUAUGACAGAAAAUCCUGAAAACUCAUAUAUAUAUCCUUCAGUUAAGUUUUUUGAAUCAUUCAGCUGAAUGUUUCCGGUGAGACGGCCUUCAAAUAAUUGUCCCUGGAUGUGAACAAAUUUUAUUUUGCCGAACCAAUUAAGUAAAUACUGAGUAGUUUAAAUCAAAUAUGGUGGAUUGGAAAUACAUAUAUGUAUAUGUAUAUGUUAAUAAAAGGCUUACGUGGUGGUCGUAGCACAGGAAGCCGAUGCAAAUUUGAGAAUUGUCUGUUUGGUGUUUUCUUAUGUCCCAAACAUUUUUUUAUACAUACUGUGAUAGGACGCACUGAAAUCAUUUCCUGAAGUUGGUGGAUUCUUUGAGGAAUGUGUUGCAUGUAAGAUGUAACUAUAAAACAUGUGAUUUUAAUUAAGGCUGAACUUCAAAGCUCUGAUUGUAAUAAAUGAUUACAUUCAAACAAAUUUUAUUUACUACCAAAACCAAUACAUGGAUUUUAUUUUAUCUGAAUGAUAUGGCACUUCCAAUUGGCUUUUUUCCAUUGUCUUGACUAAUUAGGUAUUUUAAUAAUAUGAAUAAUGCUUAAAGCAGCGGGUAAUGAAUAAUUUAAAACAAUAUCAUUAAUCUAUAUCGUUGGAACUAAUAUUAGAUUUUAAGUAAAUAAAAAUAUGACCAUUGAGGAAUAGGCUGUAGCCCUGGGACGGAUCCGGAUAUCCGGGAAAUUUAGGGUAUCCGGAUUCGGAUCCGGAUCCGUCGGAUCCGUGGAUUUAAUAUCCGGAUCCGGAUUCGUGGUUUCCGGAUAUCCGGGCUUCGGAUAUCCGUCUCGAUAUUCUAUUAUCCGCGGAUAUCCGGAUCCGGAUCCGGAUCCGUCAAAAUAAUUAAAAAUAAUUUUUUAACAAAAAAUAUUAAUUUUUUAACAAAAAAUAUUAAUUUUUUUUAACAAAAAAUACUAAUUUUUUUUAACAAAAAAUACUAAUUUUUUUUAAUAUAAUACAUAAAUUAAAUAUUUAUAAUAUUGUAAAACUAAAAUAUAAUAUUAUAAGAUUAAUUCAUGUAUAAAUAUUAAUAUAUCAAAUAUAAAUAUUAAUAAAAUUUAAAAAUCUAAUGUAUUUUAAAAAUACGGAUCCGGAUCCGGAUAUCCGGACCUAAAAAUUACGAUAUCCGGAUCCGGAUUCGGUUUGCACGGAUCCAAGAUUUUACUAUCCGGAUUCGGAUCCGGGCACCCCGGAUAUCCUAUUUUCGGAGCGGAUCCGGAGCGGAUCUCGGAUCGAAUCCGGAUCUCGGAUAAUAAGUCCCAGGCCUAAUAGGCUGUGCUAUUAGCAUUUGAAAAUAUAUAUAACAGUUUAGCAUUAUUAUUAUUUAUACAAUGGUGUAGUUAUACAUAUCACCACCUAUUUCAGCCAUUAGAUCUGCGAUUAGAUAUUUUGGUGUUAUAGGAUAAAGUUUGAUUAUGAUGCGUUUUGUUUGAUAAAUACUUAUUAUUAUAAAAAAUUUAUGGUUUUCUGAAACAAUAUGAACGGUGUGAUUGGUUUCAAUUUGUAACAUACAUGGUCUGUGGAAUCGAUGUGCCAGAAAUCACUAUUGCAUAAUUCACAAAAAAAAACAAUUUUAACAGAUAUAAUCUAUGGUAUAUAGGGGAUUCAUUCGCAAGUAUCACAGAAAAGAAUCAUGAAUUAACGUAAAAAUGGUGUCCAAAUUUUAUAACCAUUGACUUGAACCAUGUAGUAAUUUCCUCCAUAUUUUUAAUAUUUGAGAAUUGGCUAAGCGAAGGUUUACGCAGCAGAUGCUCUCUUUAAUUAGAUGAAGAUUAGAGUAUAUAGUGCAUGGCAAUAACAAAUGGGUAAGUUUGGGUGUAGGAAAUUAUAGAUUAGCAUUAACAGUUUAUAAAUGAUUUUUUGAACAGUUUAGCUGUAUAUAGUAUAAGAUCGUUUUCAAAGUUAUUCAGUGAAGACGAUGAUCUUGUGUUUGUUUUGUAUUGUUAGCUCAAUGAAUCAAGUGUAAAUUAUGGUCGUUAUCAACUAUAUACAUUUUAAUGUGUAUAUUAUCAUUGUAGUUAUAAGAAAAGUGCAUACGUAAUUGGCGACUCAUGUAUUGGUUAUGUUUUCUCAUAAUGAAAGUAUUUAUGUAUUAAACAAAAUUGUCAAUAUUACAUAGAAACGUAAGGUUUACGUUUUUUCAUAAAGUUACGAUCGGAUCGGUUAAUAGGAACAAUGUGCGGUUAUGGUUUACGUGAUUGAUACGUUAGAUAUGCAAGCAGCUUUGUAAGCAGUCUGAUUAGCUAAAUAAGAGUCUGCUUAACGUAAACAAUAAUUAAAUUACAUAUUUAUCAUGUGUAAAAAUACAUAAUUAUAUAACUUUAAAAUUUUACAAAUUAUCUAACACUUAAAAAUAAAGAUUUGUGUUACCUGUAAUUUGGACAGGAGGGUUAGGAGGUGGGUUCUCCAUUCUGUCGAUCUUGUGAUCCUUAGGCUCAAUCUGUUCAUAAAUCAGUAAUUAGGAAUAUGUAUAGAAAUUUGUUGACUUAUUGUACAUUCUUACACCUACACUUUGGAGGCUUUUGGGGUAUUGACUUGAUAUGAGCUUAAUUGUCGGUUCCAAUGGUGAAGGUAAGAGAGAAUAAUUAAU
This 6834-nucleotide long non-coding RNA is filed under the name Brassica napus (rape). RNAcentral's name for it is "long non-coding RNA (BNAP_LNC016410)". Lineage: Eukaryota; Viridiplantae; Streptophyta; Magnoliopsida; Brassicales; Brassicaceae. The record is from RNAcentral.